Molecule: long non-coding RNA, 1016 nt
Organism: Strigops habroptila (Kakapo)
Lineage: Eukaryota; Metazoa; Chordata; Aves; Psittaciformes; Psittacidae
Exons: 2
Source: RefSeq, a predicted model, not a curated record
CUAUAACAUCAUUAGCUACAAAAGAAUUUCCUACAUCCUUAUUCCAGUUACCUGCUGUCACAAACAAGCAGAUCUUUGUUUUUCCUUUUCAUAAAUCCAAUUAAGCUCAACCUUUAAAAUAAUCUUGUUCAGUUUUGUUCUCCUUGCUUCUCUUUGAAGGCUCCUUAAAAAUGUCAGAGACUAGAAACUUCAGUGUAUUUCUGGCCAGCAUAUAAGCCAACUACAAAUUACCUUUGGGAGUUGUCAUCUUUUAACAUGUGUUUUAAAAGAGAUACUGGCCUCUGAGCUAUUUCAGUAACAUAUAGAUAUCCUUGUUCUUUCCAACUCGAAUCUGCUUGUCUCUUCCGACUCUGGCAAAUGGCAGAUAUGCAAGAAAAAGAGCAGAGCUAGUCUGGGAGCCAGACAUUGAAGGAGCCAGUUUGCCAGAAAACUGGUGACUGCUUAUUUGAUAGUUUCAUUUACUUCUAAUGAUAAAGCCUAAAUAAAAGAACUGCCAGUUAAUGUUCAGUUGCAAAUAUGAAUACAAAGAACUAGCGAUGGGGACAGUGGCUAUUUUGACUACCUCUAUUUGUCUGAGGCUUUAUCAGAUGCUGUAUCUAUAAUGAAGAUGUGGUUUUGCCUAUGAAAGAGCCUGUGAGACUGAAAUUGCCUGGGUUAUACUUGCUGCAGAGGACUCUUCUUUUUCCACCCCUAAAAUAAAAUCCUCUUCAACUGACUUCAAUUCUCAUGUAAAAAUGAAAGAAAUGACUCUUUAUUUAGAAAUCGAUGACUCUCAAAAGCUGAUCUUGAGUAGGAGUAUCAGUUUACAACAUCAGAGCAGGAAGCUUUCACCAUACUUACAAUCUUAAGCAAUGUCUUCUUCAACACCAUCUACUGAAGUGUUUACUAAGGAGGUUUUUCCUCAGGUUGUUUCAGAAACUUAGGAAAGGCCUGUCUGAAAUAAAACAGUAGCAGCUUUCCUCAGACAGCCUCUCCCUGUGCUCUCUCCAUCUCCCCCAACAUCUGCUCUGUUUAAA